RNAcentral lists this ribosomal RNA (501 nucleotides) under uncultured bacterium. RNAcentral's name for it is "partial 16S ribosomal RNA". It matches the Rfam family "Bacterial small subunit ribosomal RNA", at positions 899 to 1397 of the family's 1533-position model. The record is from RNAcentral.
ACUCAAAGGAAUUGACGGGGGCCCGCACAAGCGGUGGAGCAUGUGGUUUAAUUCGACGCAACGCGAAGAACCUUACCUGGGCUUGACAUGCUGGAGAAAGCCCCCAGAAACGGGGGCCCCUCUUCGGAGUUCCAGCACAGAUGCUGCAUGGCUGUCGUCAGCUCGUGUCGUGAGAUGUUGGGUUAAGUCCCGCAACGAGCGCAACCCUCAUCCCUAGUUACCAGCGGGUAAAGCCGGGAACUCUAGGGGGACUGCCGGUGCCAAACCGGACGAAGGUGGGGACGACGUCAAGUCAUCAUGGCUCUUACGUCCAGGGCUACACACGUGCUACAAUGGGCCAGACAAAGGGCUGCCAACUCGCGAGAGGGAGCCAAUCCCAUAAACUGGUCCUCAGUUCGGAUUGCAGUCUGCAACUCGACUGCAUGAAGCUGGAAUCGCUAGUAAUCGUGGAUCAGCUACGCCACGGUGAAUACGUUCCCGGGCCUUGUACACACCGCCCGU